This 505-nucleotide ribosomal RNA is filed under the name uncultured bacterium. Its description in RNAcentral is "partial 16S ribosomal RNA". It matches the Rfam family "Bacterial small subunit ribosomal RNA", at positions 28 to 507 of the family's 1533-position model. The record is from RNAcentral.
GACGAACGCUGGCGGCGUGCCUAAUACAUGCAAGUAGAACGCACAGUUUAUACCGUAGCUUGCUACACCAUAAACUGUGAGUUGCGAACGGGUGAGUAACGCGUAGGUAACCUGCCUGGUAGCGGUGGAUAACUAUUGGAAACGAUAGCUAAUAUCGCAUAAUAUUAAUUAUUGCAUGAUAAUUGAUUGAAAUAUUCAAUUGCAUCACUACCAGAUGGACCUGCGUUGUAUUAGCUAGUAGGUGAGGUAACGGCUCACCUAGGCGAAGGUACAUAGCCGACCUGGGAGGGUGAUCGGCCAAACUGGGACUGAGACACGGCCCAGACUUCUACGGGAGGCAGCAGUAGGGAAUCUUCGGCAAUGGGCGAAAGUCUGACCGGGGCACGCCGGGUGGGGGGAGAAGGUUUUCGGAUCGGAAAGAUCUGUUGUAAGGGGAGAACGGGAGUGAGAGUGGAAAGUUCACACUGUGACGGUAUCUUACCAGAAAGGGACGGCUAACUACGUG